Molecule: ribosomal RNA, 497 nt
Filed under: uncultured bacterium
Lineage: Bacteria
Description: partial 16S ribosomal RNA
Rfam family: Bacterial small subunit ribosomal RNA
Source: RNAcentral
GACGAACGCUGGCGGCGUGCCUAAUACAUGCAAGUAGAACGCUGAAGAGAGGAGCUUGCUCUUCUUGGAUGAGUUGCGCACGGGUGAGUAACGCGUAGGUAACCUGCCUGGUAGCGGGGGAUAACUAUUGGAAACGAUAGCUAAUACCGCAUAAAAUUGAUUAUUGCAUGAUAAUUAAUUGAAAGAUGCAACUGCAUCACUACCACAUGGACCUGCGUUGUAUUAGCUAGUUGGUGAGGUAACGGCUCACCAAGGCGACGAUACAGAGCCGACCUGAGAGGGUGAUCAGCCACACUGGGACUGAGACACGGCCCAGACUCCUACGGGAGGCAGCAGGAGGGAAUCUUCGGCAAUGGGGGGAACCCUGACCGAGCAACGCCGCGUGAGGGAAGAAGGUUUUCGAAUCGGAAAGCUCUGUUGUAAGGGAAGAACGGGUGUGAGAGUGGAAAGUUCACACUGUGACGGUAUCUGACCAGAAAGGGACGGCUAACUACGUG